Molecule: unclassified non-coding RNA, 348 nt
Filed under: soil metagenome
Description: partial contains 5.8S ribosomal RNA, internal transcribed spacer 2, and large subunit ribosomal RNA
Rfam family: 5.8S ribosomal RNA (bases 1-120)
Source: RNAcentral
GAUGAAGAACGUAGUGAAAUGCGAUAAGUAAUGUGAAUUGCAGAAUUCAGUGAAUCAUCGAAUCUUUGAACGCACAUUGCGCCCGCCAGUAUUCUGGCGGGCAUGCCUGUCUGAGCGUCAUUUCAACCCUCAUGCCCCUAGGGCGUGGUGUUGGGGAUCGGCCAAAGCCCGCGAGGGACGGCCGGCCCCUAAAUCUAGUGGCGGACCCGUCGUGGCCUCCUCUGCGAAGUAGUGAUAUUCCGCAUCGGAGAGCGAUGAGCCCCUGCCGCUAAACCCCCAACUUUCCAAGGUUGACCUCAGAUCAGGUAGGAAUACCCGCUGAACUUAAGCAUAUCAAUAAGCGGAGGA